This 3731-nucleotide long non-coding RNA is filed under the name Gallus gallus (chicken). Lineage: Eukaryota; Metazoa; Chordata; Aves; Galliformes; Phasianidae. The record is from RNAcentral.
CUGAAAUUUAGUGUUACAUCAUACACUGCUGAAACUGUUCCCCUGAGACACUGGACAGCAGUGGUGAAACCUUUGGUUCUGGGCAACAGGUGGUACUUCAGUUUGGGCAGCCCCUUGGAUUCAGCUACCUCCAUACUGAUACGAUGCUUGGUCUCUGUAAAACGAGUUCCUUCACAAUACAGGAGAAACCACAUGUAUUCAGGAUAGUCAGCCAAACGUUUUAAUCCCUCAAUAACUGUAUCUCUGUCUUCUUCCCAUUUCCUUUUGCAGAAAACAAUCUCGAGGAAGUACCAUGUCCAGCCAAUUAGGGGCACAUACAGUAGCUCUUUCUUAGCAAGAACUUUGGAACUCCCCAGCACUCCAAAGCGCUCCGUCAUAGUCCAGCCACACAAGAAGUCAAUUUCAAAGUUGUGAUUCAAGAUGAUGAUGACAUGCUCUUUCCCAAAGGUAUUCACUGUAGCCUCGUCGGAGAACAAGGUGCACUCUGUGCCCGACCACCAUUCCAGCAGCAUUACUAACUGGCUCCAAAGUGAAUAGGCAAGGCGACAGUUUACUCGGCGAUAAAACUGCUUGUUUAUGGGCCAGAGGACUAGUGUGCAUAGUUGAAUGAAGUUAAUGAUCAGUCCACUCACAACAAAGACGAACCCAAUGAGGAGGUGAACAAUGAACUGGGUCUUCAGAAAGGCAAUGAAGCCCAUGAUAACCACUCAGAAGCGUGUGCAAGGGCCGUCACUCAGAAUAACUGUCCACCACCACUGUGGACCACUUCUGGCACCUGGCAACACUCAGAGCAACAGGAGAAUUCCCAUCUCCUCCCUCCAGGAAAGUACCACUGCUUAUGUUUCAAGAGAUUUGCUUUCUCAUUUGCCUGCGGUCCCCGCCGCCUCCUCGGGAAGAGCCGCCCGCGCCCGGCUCAGCCUCCAGCCCCGGCCUCGCCCGCCUCCGCCUGCUGCUGUCCGCGCGGCCCCCACGGCGGCGGCGGGCUGCCUGUACGCGCCGCGGCCCUCGGGAGGCGGGGAAGGGGCGAGCGGGGCGGGCGGCGGCGGCGGCGGCUCCGGCAGCCUCUCUCAUGGAGUGCGGCAGCCCCAGCUGUCGCCGCCGCUGCUCCCCGCAGCCGCUACUUCCUGUGCGGCGAUGGUUCAGUUCCUCCCGGGCCGCUGGGGGCAGGAGAGCCGGGCGGCGUGGAGCGGAGGAGGAAGAUCGGGGCAGAGCGCGGGGCUGCGGUGCCGCAGCUCCCCCCGCUACGCACUGGAGCCGGCGCCCCAGCCCACCCCGCCGCCCGAGCCCCCUUCCCCCGACGCGGCCGCAAGGGGGCGCCACCGCUCCCGCCCCGCGGAGGCCGAUGGCGGCCGCGCUGAUGGGAGCGCGAAGGCGGCAGCGCGAGGGAUCGAUAAAGGAGAUUCUCCUCAGCGCAGGAAACCGCUGCGUAACGCUGUGAAGAAGUGAGGGUACCGGGCUGGAGCUGCAGGGAGGAGAAGCGCUAAAGGACGCACCUCUCUUGCGUGCCGUGCAAGGGACAAGCCUAUGAAGCCUUCCAGACUAGAACACCAGGAUCUGAAGUUACCUUUCUUUGUGCCGACGUGUGUUUUGACUUCUGAAGCUGAGGAGAGCUCGCAGCUCUCAAAGCCCUGUCAUCAAAACUGUGUGUGGUCGUCGCCUCUGGAAAUCGGUUCACCCCACGUGGAUCCACAAUGCAGGUUUUGCGUUAGGCAGCGAUACUGGAGAGCAGCAGCCAGAGUGCACCCGGGGUCAUGGGAAUAAAGCAGCCGCUCCCCUCAGCGGUCAUGGAGAGACCUCGGGGGGAAAACCGUUUUUAUCGGCUACUGAGGCUCUGAACGCUCCUCUCUUUCCCUUGCGCUCUGUGGCAUUCAGACCAUGCUAACUCGACCUACUUUAGAUACCGCUCGCUGAGCUUUUCCAAAUGCUUAUGUUCUGUGUUUACUUAAGGUGCUAUUAAAUCCUUUAUCGGCUGUUUUACUGUUGCAGGAUUCGCUCCAGCCGUGUGCGAAUUCCAGUACGAGGCAGAGGCUCUGCUCGAGGUCAGGUGUGUGUGGUGCUUUCCAUCCUCCCCUCUCCAUGCCUCCCCCAGCUCAGCCUCUCCCUGCCAGCUCUGACAGCCCUAUCUAAUGCUGCUCAGCCCAUGCCGGCUUGUCCAAUCACAACACCUUUGGCUGCUCUCCUGUCCUGCUGUAUCUUUAGAGCAGGCUGCCAUAAACUCGGGCAGCCCUGGCAGCUUCCUGAAGAGCAUCACAGGUGAUUUCAGACCCCUGCGUGUACCAUUCCCCUGAGGGUCCCAGUGCUGAGCCUCAAUUUGCCUUCAAGUUACCAGCUUCCUGGUUUGGCACAAAGAGAAUAGGGGUAUCGCACAUUAUGCAGCUUACAUUUUUCCCUAAAAGAGCGUUUACUAUACCUCACAAACCUGUUUCCGAACAAGAAAUGAUCACUCAAGGAAAUGACCUAAUAGAAGCAGCUCGCCACAGUCUAUUGUAAAAACAGAGCGGGACACAAUUCCUCCAAGUCAGGAUCAUUUUCAGAUUGUAUUGCUAGCAGGAAGUCUAUUCAGCUUGACUAACCAGUUCAUGGUCCACUCAACUUUUAACUACAGAAUAGAGCAAACAUCCUACUUCUGUUACAUAGUAGUGGUUCUUCUGUGCAGUGUUUACCCGCUUGUAACGUAAUGUAAUGCAGUCUCUGCUGAAGUCUGCCUAAGUAUCGUGUAUAGAACAAUCAAAUUAUGAGAACUGAAAUCUGAAAGAAGGAGAUAUAUUAGCCUGAGAGAUACAGAGAAACAGGGGAAAGAAAAUAACAAAACUAGGAACAGAAAUGGUGAAUAGAGAAAUAUCAUGAAAAAAGAAUAGUAGUAUCUGUAAAGAAUGCCAAGAAGUUUAUUUCCACCUCCCUGCCCAACUGCAUUCUGACAUCUCACUGGCAAGUAGUGUCUUCUCUUCCUGAGUUACUAAGACAGCUCUGUAAAGAGCUGACCAUUACCCUGGAGUGACCAUUACCCUAUUUACCCAUUAUUAUCCCCAGGCUUAAAAUGAGCUGUUCUACAAAAGCAAUGCUCACUCUGUGCAUGAAGCAAGAUGCCAAAUAAAGCAGUAUUCACUUUUUCUAUUGAGCAAAAAAAUACUUGAAACUUCAACAUGGUUGAAACCUGUUUAAGAGUAUCGGGAAAGCAUCUAUUUCGUAUCACCCCAACUGGUCUACAGCGUCUGCUGGAAAGGAAAGUUUUCACAUUGAUCCUCAAUUGUCAUUUUUUUUUCUUCUGAAAAUAUGAAUAGAAUUAUGAGAUACAGACUUUCUCUCCGUUUCAAGAGGUAAUGGGCUUAAGUGUGUCAGGGAAGUUCAGAUUGGACAUUAGGAAACAUUUCUUUUCAGAAAGAGCGGUGAGGCAGUGGCACAGGCUGCCCAGGGAGGUGGUGGAGUCACCGUCCCUGGAGGUGUUCAAGAGCCGUGUGGAUGAGGCACUGAGGGACGUGGGCAGUGGGCAUGGUGGGGAUAUAUUGGUGUUUGGAUUAGAUCAGGCAUGUCCAACCUGUGGCCAAACACAAUUCACAAUGUGGCCACCCUCUGUGUUACUGUGUUCAUUGUAUCUGUUGUAUUUUCCACAGAAAUAAAUUGUAGGUGUUACUUUCAGAGCAGCCUACUGAUACGCAGCCCUAGACAAUUCCUCUUCACUCAGUGCAGCCCAGGCAAGCCAAAAGCUUGGACAUCCAUGUUCUAGAUAACCU